CACACUCAGGGAAAGAUGACUACACAGAGCUCUACACAAGGGGCAGCAUUUGGGGCCCGUGGUAGAGUUCUAUCUACCUGCCAAAUGAAGUAAACACAUGUUUAGCAACUUGAGAUCUCUGUGAAGUAAAUAUCACCAAAUAAACCCAGCCGCUCCAAGCAAGAAGAAAGCUCAGAGUAUGAUAAUCAAAUGUCAAGGGUGCAACUCGAAAUGUAACGUCAUACAGAGCUCUCAGAUGAGCAGAAGUCCACUGUGUAUCUGCACCGCAUUUUCAUUACCUGUUCACCGUCGGUAGACAUUGGGGCUGUUUUUGUGCUUCCUGGCUGCUAGGAAGAGAGCAGCAAUGAGCACAGACGAAAAGGUCUGGUAUAAAAGUCACCUGACUAAGUUUCUCCUGCUCACCGCACGAUGUCACGAGCCGCCUCAGAAUUCUGCCAGGAAGAAGACAGUCAGCAGGUACAGGCCCUCGACCUUCAGAAUCAUGAUUGAUGGAUAAACAUCUUCUCUUUACAACUCACCUGUCUUGAUAUAUUACAUCAUUGGCAACAGAAAAUGGACUAAGAUAGCAUUUAUUUG
This 576-nucleotide small RNA is filed under the name Rattus norvegicus (Norway rat). Its description in RNAcentral is "uncharacterized LOC102552468". Lineage: Eukaryota; Metazoa; Chordata; Mammalia; Rodentia; Muridae. The record is from RNAcentral.